This 439-nucleotide ribosomal RNA is filed under the name uncultured bacterium. RNAcentral's name for it is "partial 16S ribosomal RNA". It matches the Rfam family "Bacterial small subunit ribosomal RNA", at positions 339 to 795 of the family's 1533-position model. The record is from RNAcentral.
CUACGGGCUGCUGCAGUGAGGAAUAUUGCACAAUGGGGGGAACCCUGAUGCAGCAACGCCGCGUGGAGGAUGACGCAUUUCGGCGUGUAAACUCCUUUUAUAUGUCAAGAAAAUGACGGUAGCAUAUGAAUAAGCACCGGCUAACUCCGUGCCAGCAGCCGCGGUAAUACGGAGGGUGCAAGCGUUACUCGGAAUCACUGGGCGUAAAGGACGCGUAGGCGGGUUGGAAAGUCAGGUGUGAAAUCCUACAGCUUAACUGUAGAACUGCACUUGAAACUUCUAAUCUAGAGUAUGGGAGGGGGGGAUGGAAUUAGUGGUGUAGGGGUAAAAUCCGUAGAUAUCACUAGGAAUACCUAAAGCGAAGGCGAUCUCCUGGAACAUUACUGACGCUAAGGCGUGAAAGCGUGGGGAGCAAACAGGAUUAGAUACCCCAGUAGUC